UGCUAAAGGAAAAAGAGGCUUGGCAACAUGCAAUGACAAUGGCCGAAAUCUAGUCCCUUUAGUGGGUCCACCGACCAUAAUCACAGCUACAACCUUCUCUCCAGAGGUGCCCAUCUCAAAUCAACACAAACCCAGAUCUUCGAUUCCCCAAAUUACGAAUAAAGACUCUUUAUUUAUGAAUAACAGAGGCUCAAAUCUUUAAAGCACUGAAGUGGUAACUACCGCCCAAUCGUACAAAAAAUAAUUUCACACCAUCCAAACCACUAUUCAUAGGAGCCAAGAGAGCUAACUUUAGACCCAAAUAUCUGUACUUUUUGGCUAGUAGCUUACAC
This 332-nucleotide unclassified non-coding RNA is filed under the name Hevea brasiliensis (rubber tree). Lineage: Eukaryota; Viridiplantae; Streptophyta; Magnoliopsida; Malpighiales; Euphorbiaceae. The record is from RNAcentral.